GAGGAUGUAGCUCAGGGCUAGAGUAUGUGCCUAACAUGCACAAGGACCUGGGUUCGAUCACCAGCACCACCU
This 72-nucleotide transfer RNA is filed under the name Fukomys damarensis (Damara mole-rat). It matches the Rfam family "tRNA". Rfam says of the family: Transfer RNA (tRNA) molecules are approximately 80 nucleotides in length. The record is from Rfam by way of RNAcentral. Lineage: Eukaryota; Metazoa; Chordata; Mammalia; Rodentia; Bathyergidae.